GUCGAGCGGUAGAGAGGUGCUUGCACCUCUUGAGAGCGGCGGACGGCUGAGUAAAGCCUAGGAAUCUGCCUGGUAGUGGGGGAUAACGCUCGGAAACGGACGCUAAUACCGCAUACGUCCUACGGGAGAAAGCAGGGGACCUUCGGGCCUUGCGCUAUCAGAUGAGCCUAGGUCGGAUUAGCUAGUUGGUGAGGUAAUGGCUCACCAAGGCGACGAUCCGUAACUGGUCUGAGAGGAUGAUCAGUCACACUGGAACUGAGACACGGUCCAGACUCCUACGGGAGGCAGCAGUGGGGAAUAUUGGACAAUGGGCGAAAGCCUGAUCCAGCCAUGCCGCGUGUGUGAAGAAGGUCUUCGGAUUGUAAAGCACUUUAAGUUGGGAGGAAGGGCAUUAACCUAAUACGUUAGUGUUUUGACGUUACCGACAGAAUAAGCACCGGCUAACUCUGUGCCAGCAGCCGCGGUAAUACAGAGGGUGCAAGCGUUAAUCGGAAUUACUGGGCGUAAAGCGCGCGUAGGUGGUUCGUUAAGUUGGAUGUGAAAUCCCCGGGCUCAACCUGGGAACUGCAUUCAAAACUGUCGAGCUAGAGUAUGGUAGAGGGUGGUGGAAUUUCCUGUGUAGCGGUGAAAUGCGUAGAUAUAGGAA
RNAcentral lists this ribosomal RNA (646 nucleotides) under uncultured bacterium. Its description in RNAcentral is "bacterial SSU rRNA". It matches the Rfam family "Bacterial small subunit ribosomal RNA", at positions 61 to 702 of the family's 1533-position model. The record is from RNAcentral.